Myotis lucifugus (little brown bat) is the source of this 1419-nucleotide RNA transcript. It is a transcript of the gene named chromosome unknown C1orf54 homolog, with no coding region annotated. The record is from RefSeq and is a predicted model, not a curated record. The transcript has 9 exons. Lineage: Eukaryota; Metazoa; Chordata; Mammalia; Chiroptera; Vespertilionidae.
UAACCAAGGUACAUGCCCUUGACCGGAAUCAAUCCUGGGACCCUUCAGUCCGCAGGCCGAUGCUCUAUCCACUGAGCCAAACCGGUUAGGGCCACACACUGUAUUUUUUUUUCUUAUUCUUUUGCCUGUGAACCUGAAUUGCCUAUCAGACUCGGCCUAGCACUUUGUGCCUAGCCUGUAUGUUACUAAAUGUUUCUGAAUAGAAUUCAAUAAAAAUGGAAAAUACAAAAGUAGAGAAAAGGAUAAGAUAAGCUGUACUCCUGUAAGGCUGGAAUGAAAGGAAGACACCAAGUGACUGAAAGUGGAAGAGGUGUGGCCCUACGCAAAAGACACUAUCUGCUCUUUCCCUUCCAUCCUGUAUUCAGCAAGUUAAGAAAGAGGUGAGGUGAGGGGCAGCUCUGACUGAGGACAAGACCAAUAGUAACUGAGGAUCUAGUCCGUCAGCAAGUAGGAGGGGAAUUCCCCCCCUGAGAGAAGAGUUGCUGCAGCUCCCUCCCUGCUUUGGAGGAGGGCCGGAGGCGGGAUUCUUGUGUCACUGCUUGUGGUUAAGGACUUCAAGGGGCUUAGGGAAGUGUUUUAGCAGGAGGCCUCGAGUUCUUGAUCCAAUCAUGUCAAAGCUGCAUAUUUUCAGUCUGGGGAAGGAAAAUGAAUGCAGAUGGGUUAUUUACUCCAGCUGACUCAUUUUAAGAAAACGGAUGUUAAGUGGCUUGUUCAAUCCUGACAGCAAUGAAAACUGGAACUAAAAUAAAAAUCCAAAGCCGAACGGUUUAGUUUUUGUUUUUGGUUUACAGUAUGUGAAGGGAUCUGUUUUCUGUUCUGGGACUUCCUGGAUUGAAAGGGCAGAGGAACAAGCCUCAUCCUGAUAUGAAGCCCAGAAGACUAAGGGUUGAGAGGACAAAUAUAUGAGGAUGAAGAAGGACUGGAAGAGGAUUAUUAUUAUCAGAUGAUGUAUAAUUACACAGUCACCCCCACUUAUGAUCCAGAUUAUUUUGGUGCAAAUUUCACUGUUGAUUACUCCAUAUUUGAGUUAGAGGACAGACUGAACAGGUUGGAUAAGGAGGUAACGGAAGCAGAAGAGACAACCAUUAUUCAUGAAACAGAACGUGUAGACCAUCAGAGGCCUGUAACAGUGAAAUCAGUGACAGUGGAACCAGUGACAAUGGAACCAGUGACAAUGGAACCAGUGACAAUGAAACCAGUGACAAUGAAACCAGUGACAAUGGAACCACAGAGUCCAGAUAUGAACCAUGCUGUAUCCAGUCUGCAGAGUCCUGUUUCCCUUCUCCUGUCCUGGACCCUCCUUCAGGAGUGGAUGUAUUUCAUGUAGAAGGAUGAGAAUGCUGUUAUGACUCUUUGGAUGGGGAUUUGGGAAGAAGAAAUUGGAAAAUAAAAUAAGUGAAAUAAUCUGGUUACUCUCUA